GCAUUCGUGGUGUAGUGGUCAGCAUGCUCGACGCGUAACCGAGAGGUCCGUGGUUCGAUUCCCGGCGAAGGCG
RNAcentral lists this transfer RNA (73 nucleotides) under Stegodyphus mimosarum. It matches the Rfam family "tRNA". From Rfam's summary of the family: Transfer RNA (tRNA) molecules are approximately 80 nucleotides in length. Their secondary structure includes four short double-helical elements and three loops (D, anti-codon, and T loops). Further hydrogen bonds mediate the characteristic L-shaped molecular structure. tRNAs have two regions of fundamental functional importance: the anti-codon, which is responsible for specific mRNA codon recognition, and the 3' end, to which the tRNAs corresponding amino acid is attached (by aminoacyl-tRNA synthetases). tRNAs cope with the degeneracy of the genetic code in two manners: having more than one tRNA (with a specific anti-codon) for a particular amino acid; and 'wobble' base-pairing, i.e. permitting non-standard base-pairing at the 3rd anti-codon position. Lineage: Eukaryota; Metazoa; Arthropoda; Arachnida; Araneae; Eresidae. The record is from Rfam by way of RNAcentral.